RNAcentral lists this ribosomal RNA (478 nucleotides) under Neisseria flavescens. RNAcentral's name for it is "bacterial SSU rRNA". It matches the Rfam family "Bacterial small subunit ribosomal RNA", at positions 30 to 496 of the family's 1533-position model. Lineage: Bacteria; Pseudomonadati; Pseudomonadota; Betaproteobacteria; Neisseriales; Neisseriaceae. The record is from RNAcentral.
AUUGAACGCUGGCGGCAUGCUUUACACAUGCAAGUCGGACGGCAGCACAGAGAAGCUUGCUUCUUGGGUGGCGAGUGGCGAACGGGUGAGUAAUAUAUCGGAACGUACCGAGUAAUGGGGGAUAACUAAUCGAAAGAUUAGCUAAUACCGCAUAUUCUCUGAGGAGGAAAGCAGGGGACCUUGGGCCUUGCGUUAUUCGAGCGGCCGAUAACUGAUUAGCUAGUUGGUGGGGUAAAGGCCUACCAAGGCGACGAUCAGUAGCGGGUCUGAGAGGAUGAUCCGCCACACUGGGACUGUGACACGGCCCAGACUCCUACGGGAGGCAGCAGUGGGGAAUUUUGGACAAUGGGCGCAAGCCUGAUCCAGCCAUGCCGCGUGUCUGAAGAAGGCCUUCGGGUUGUAAAGGACUUUUGUCAGGGAAGAAAAGACUGUUGCUAAUAUCGACAGCUGAUGACGGUACCUGAAGAAUAAGCACCGG